Long non-coding RNA from Clupea harengus (Atlantic herring), 2399 nucleotides. The record is from Ensembl. Lineage: Eukaryota; Metazoa; Chordata; Actinopteri; Clupeiformes; Clupeidae.
CCUUUCUUCACUCUUCUUUCCUUCUUCCACUCUUCUUUACUUCUUCCACUCUUCUUUCCUUCUUCCACUCUUCUUUCCUUCUUUCAAUCUUCUUUCUUUUCUUCUUUCCUUCUUCCACUCUUCUUUCCUUAUUUCACUCUUCUUUCCUUCUUUCCUUUUUUCACUUUUCUUUUUUUUCUUCUCUCCUUCUUCCACUCUUCUUUCCUUCUUCCACUCUUCUUUCCUUUCUUCUUUCCCUUCUUUCUUUUCUUCUUUCCUUCUUCCACUCUUCUUUCCUAGCUUCACUCUUCUUUAAUUUCUUCAUUCUUUUCUUCUUUCCUUCUUCCACUCUUCCUUCCUUCUUCAACUCUUCUUUUCUUCUUCCACUCUUCUUUCUUUUCUUCACUCUUCUUUGCUUUCUUCUUUUCUUCUUUUACUCUUCUUUCUUUUCUUCUUUCCUUUCUUCACUCUUCUUGCCUUUAUUCUUUCCUUCUUCCACUCUUCUUUCCUUUUACUCUUCUUUCCUUUCUUCUUUCCUUCUUUCACUCUUCUUUCUUUUCUUCUUCCUUUCUUAACUUUUGCAUUUCAUGCACUGGUAUUUCCUUCAGGAAAUGCAUUUUCUAGUUAUUAUUCUUUGUACCGAACUUCUGCGCUUAAUUCAGCUCGAACCGCUUAACUUAGAAACUUUGUUCAAACUUUGCUGCGUAGGUCUUGUAAAGGACACUUAUGCUAUGUAUUUUUCAUUUUUCUAAACUUUAUACUUUUUAAAAUAUUAAAUAAAAACUAAUACAAUUUCUCCCAUUGACUUACAUUGGGCCAUUAUGACAUCAUAAUAGGGUCUUUAAACUGGCUUGCACCUGUGCUUCACUGACACUUGCGCCAAGGUUCCAAGGCUCCUCUUCUCUCUGUCCCUCUCCAUUCAACUGUAUAACUAGGAAUAUUAUUCUUUCCUUCUUCCACUCUUCUUCUUUCAUUCUUCCACUCUUCUUUCCUUCUUCCACUCUCCUUUCCUUUCUUCUUUCCUUCUUCCACUCUUCUUUCCUUCUUCUACUCUUCUUUUCUUUCUUCACUCUUCUUUCCUUCUUCCACUCUUCUUUCCUUCUUCUACUCUUCUUUUCUUUCUUCACUCUUCUUUCCUUCUUCUUUCUUUUCUUCUUUCCUUUCUUCACUCUUCUUUCCUUUCUUCUUUCCUUCUUCCACUCUUCUUUCCUUCUUCUACUCUUCUUUUCUUUCUUCACUCUUCUUUCCUUCUUCCACUCUUCUUUCCUUUCUUCUUUCCUUCUUCCACUCUUCUUUCCUUCUUUCUCUCUUCUUUCUUUUCUUCUUUCCUUCUUCCACUCUUCUUCCACUCUUAUUUCCUUCUUUCACUCUUCUUUCUUUUCUUCUUUCCUUCUUCCACUCUUUUUUCCUUCUUUCACUCUUCUUUCCUUCUUUCACUUUUCUUUUUUUUUCUUCUUUCCUUCUUCCACUCUUCUUUUCUUUCUUCACUCUUCUUUCUUUUCUUCUUUCCUUCUUCCCUUCUUCUUUCCUUCUUCGACUCUUCUUUCCUUUCUUCUUUCCUUUCUUUACUCUUCUUUCCUUUCUUAUUUCCUUCUUUCACUCUUCUUUCUUUUCUUCUUCCUUUCUUAACUUUUGCAUUUCAUGCACUGGUAUUUCCUUCAGGAAAUGCAUUUUCUAGUUCUUCUUCUACUUCUUAUUAUUCUUUUUACCGACUUCUGCGCUUAAUUCAGCUCGAUUUUCCUUCUUUCCUUCUUCCACUCUUCUUUCCUUCUUCCACUCUUCUUUCCUUUCUUCACUCUUCUUUUCUUUCUUCUUUCCUUCUUCCACUCUUCUUUCCUUCUUCACUCUUCUUUUCUUUAUUCUUUCCUUCUUCCACUCUUCUUUCCUUUCUUCUUUCCUUCUUCCACUCUUCUUUCCUUCUUCCUCUCUUCUUUCCUUCUUUUUCUCUUAUUUCCUUCUUUUUCUCUUAUUUCCUUUCUUCUUUCCUUCUUCCACUCUCCUUUCCUUUCUUCUUUCCUUCUUCCACUAUUCUUUCCUUCUUCUACUCUUCUUUCCUUUCUUCACUCUUCUUUCCUUCUUCCACUCUUCUUUCCUUCUUUUACUCUUCUUUCCUUUCUUCUUUGCUUCUUCACUCUUCUUUCUUUAUUUCUUCCCUUCUUAACUUUUGCAUUUCAUGCACUGGUAUUUCCUUCAGGAAAUGCAUUUUCUAGUUUAAAUUAAAUUCCCACAACAAUAACAUUAAACAUAUUUUCAGAGCAUAUUUCAAAGAUGGAGUACAACAUGAAAAAUUGAACAAUAUAAUGAAGGUUUCUGUUGAUGAAAUGUAUGCAAAUGUUAGGACAUCCUAUUGUUUGCCAAUGUCACUAUGGCCAUGUGAAUCCUUAUAAACAGCCUGAGUUUUGUUUGAUUGAACAAUGAUG